UACGGGGGGGGCAAGCGUUGUUCGGAAUUACUGGGCGUAAAGGGCUCGUAGGCGGCCAACUAAGUCGGAUGUGAAAUCCCCAGGCUUAACCUGGGAAUUGCAUCCGAUACUGGAUGGCUUGAAUCCGGGAGAGGGAUGCGGAAUUCCUGGUGUAGCGGUGAAAUGCGUAGAGAUCAGGAGGAACACCUGCGGUGUAGACGGCUUACUGGACCAUAACUGACGCUGAGGCACGAAAGCGUGGGUAGCAAACAGG
Molecule: ribosomal RNA, 253 nt
Filed under: uncultured bacterium
Lineage: Bacteria
Description: partial 16S ribosomal RNA
Rfam family: Bacterial small subunit ribosomal RNA
Source: RNAcentral